GACGAACGCUGGCGGCGUGCCUAACACAUGCAAGUCGAACGGAGCUUUAAGAGGAAACCCUUCGGGGCGGAAUUUUAAAGCUUAGUGGCGGACGGGUGAGUAACACGUGAGUAACCUGCCCCAAGGAGGGGGAUAACAUACCGAAAGGUAUGCUAAUACCCCAUAAUGUAUAAGUGCCGCAUGGUGCAUAUACCAAAGAUUUAUCGCCUUGGGAUGGACUCGCGGCCGAUUAGGUAGUUGGUGAGGUAACGGCUCACCAAGCCAACGAUCGGUAGCCGGACUGAGAGGUUGAACGGCCACAUUGGGACUGAGACACGGCCCAGACUCCUACGGGAGGCAGCAGUGGGGGAAUAUUGCGCAAUGGGGGAAACCCUGACGCAGCGACGCCGCGUGAAGGAUGAAGGUUUUCGGAUCGUAAACUUAUGUCUUUGGGGUACGAGGAAGGACGGUACCCAAGGAGGAAGCCACGGCUAACUACGUG
Molecule: ribosomal RNA, 481 nt
Filed under: uncultured bacterium
Lineage: Bacteria
Description: bacterial SSU rRNA
Rfam family: Bacterial small subunit ribosomal RNA
Source: RNAcentral